UGAGCAGGGCCUCACCAUGGAAGGCCUGAAAGGGAAACAUAAACUAUUCCAAUGGAAGCUGCAGAGCAGGCUUGAGCUUUAGAACUGAGAAGAGGAAGAACCACUCUGUGGUCAGCCCCAGCCUGAAGGGAAGUUAUAACAUCCAGCUUCCUUCUGUUCCAGACAGGUACAGAUGGAGGCAGUAGCAUGGUAAAACAUCAAAAUCAAGCAUCCAGCAUCUGAAUCCAAGCAACACAAAGAACAAGAAACUUUGUGUCCUUUGACCAACAUCUUUUUUUUUCCCCGUCUACCCUCUUUCCUGCCACCACUCCAGCUCUUGAAACUUCUCAUGGCACAGAACCUGCCAGCAGAAAGAUGAAGACACCUGUCCCUAUCUGCAUGUAGAGUCAUAAGCAGUGAUUUUCUAACUUGGCAGUGCUCCUUCGAGUUGACAUUUCCAAAACCACCUAGAGGACCAGGAAAUUCAGUCAGGCUGGCAGCACCAGAGGUCUGUGUCUGUGGCAAGAUAGAAACCACAUGACUAGGUCAUAAGAGGAGAUACAACUUUUGACCAGACGCUCACUCGCGAAAUUCGGUCACCAGGCUGUGAAGAAGACAAUGUGGAAAGACCUCGUGUUCCUUUUUUGUCUGACAGCCCCAGUGAAUUCCUGCCAAGAGUCAACAUCAACAUCUAGACCUAUGAGAGGGCAAGUCCUCAGAUGUUUACAGUCCCAGACUUCAUGCCGCCUUCUGUCUUUUAGUCUUCCCUGCUGAAAACUCACACAUUGUGGAACAGAGAAGUGACAUCUGCACUGUGCCUUUUCUCAAGUCGUAAACCACAAAACAUAUGGGCAUAAUAAAAUGAUUUUUGUGUUAUACAGUUAAGUUUGGUUUUGUUUGUUAUACAGUGAUAGCUUACUUUAACAACCUCUACUUCUGUUCUAUUCUCAAAAUAUUAUAAACUGUAUAAGAAAAAAUUUACCUUUUAAAAUUGAACUUUAGGAGUAGACAAUAAACUGACUAUGACCCAUUUUUAAAUGUAAAAUAUCCCUUUUCAACUUUUUUUGAAUUUUCUUAUUUGAAUUAUCCAGUUACCUUUAGAAGAAUUGUCUAGGUUUCCUUAAAUAAUAGAACCAUGGAGACAAUAAGAUAUGCAUAAUAUGUAGUGAAAGAGUUAAUGUAUAGCCAAGAUCACCGCUAGAAAUAAAAUGUCUGUGUACUGAUGUGUUCCCAGUAUGCAGAUCUAGGAAAAGCAAUUGGUUAAUUCAAUAUCAAGAAAUUGUGUCUAUAUAUGCUUUGAAGCAUAAUCAUUGUUAAUUUAAUAGUGACCUGGUUUUGAUUGCGUGAGGGAUUAAACUGUGUCUUAUUCACAACUGUAUGCUUGGUAAUUAACACAAUAAAUAUUUAUCAAAUAAAUGAGGAAAAUGCUGCCUGAAGCAACUCCAAACAACUUAUCCCUCUCCCCAAGACUGUUGCUUCUUCAGGGAAGUGUAACAUGGAUAAAAUUCAAGUAUAACUAUAAAAAUUAAAAUGCUUAAUCAUUUUGAAUAUAAGUGAUUCUAAAGAAAGCAAGAUAUCAUUUUAAAAAGUGAAGUUUGCUUAUCUAUAGAUGUAUAAACAAGGCCUUAAUUGUUUAGCUAUUACUAGAUUCAUUAUACUUUUAUACUAUUUUGCCUAGUCUUUUUCCCUGUCUCUAUAUAAUUGUAUAUAGGCAUAUGUAUCACUUCAAAACCCACAGGUCCUCAAGAAAAUAAUUACAGCUUAAUCCUUAUAAUGCCAGCAUUUAAACAGAGCAUUGGUAUUUUUUAUUUUUUAAAAUAUGAAUUUGAUAGUAACUCUUUAUACAUCAAUUUAUAAGUAUAAACACCCACUUUUAGAAUAUAUUGAAAUUAAAACAUUGUAUAUUGUUAUUUCAGUUUCUUAUUAUCUGAUGUUUUCAACUCUUAAUUCUUAGUAUGCAAAUAUAUUGGACUUUUUCUUUAUGUUGAAGAAUAUUUUUGAAUAUGAUGGGAAAUAUGAAAACACAAGAUGUUACAUUACAGAAAUACUCUAUUUAAAGCAUCUUUGUGGAUUGUAAACAUCAUACUCCUUUUAUGUUUUUGUGUUAAAAAUUCUGUUCAUAGUGACUGUACAAGGCUAUUUUAAUAACCACUUUUUCUUUUCUCUACUGUAAGUCUUUGAGAUGCCUAGUAUCUACUAUCAAAUGAUUUUUGAAAAAGGAUAUGUCUAUCUGAUACCAAAAAGUUUGAUCAUUUUAAUUAUCUGGACUAUUCAAUUGCAAAGCCUUCAUUUAAGAAAAAGAAAUACAUAACACAUGAGUUUGUCCAGUGCCUGAUCUCUGAUCAGGAAGCAGAAGGGAAGGAAAUGAUAGGAAAGUUUACAAGGAACUCAAGUCAACAAAACUGUGAUUGUUGGAAUAAAUACUUGUUUUAAAUGACUGGAAUAUAAUUGAUUUGCCUUGUUAAACAUAUUUAAAAAUAAAUUCUAAGUAUUGCAUACUCAGAUGUACACUGAUCUAAUGUACAUUCAUAGCUUGCGUGGCAUUGUUCAAUAGAGAAAACUUCCUCAAAUAUUUUUCACAAUAGGGUUAGUGAUAAAUAAACUUCCAAAUUAUAUAGCAUGUAAGUUCUUUAUAUGACAGAGGAAAUUAAGAAUGUUUCUGUAUUUCUAAAGGCCCAGAAAGGAGAAGAUGAGGGGGAUGGAGAGAAGUGUUUUGAAUAGUGAAAGUAAGGGAGGUAGAAGCUUCCAUCCAACAAAGGAAGUUUUAACCUCACCUUAGAUUAAGGAGAAGACAGAGUGGCAGAGACUAGUGGCACAUCCCUGCACCCCAGAUAAAGGAACAGCUAUGGACUCUAAGGCCAAUAGGAAAGAUUAUUUAAGGGUCAUCUCAGAACCAGCUUAGAUCAGAAGUUUUGUUCUUUUUUUUUUUCCAGCUUAAUUGAAGUAUAAUUGACAAAUAAAAAUUAUAUACUCCAUGUACUGCAUAAAGAUGUUUUGGGCAAUGAUAGACUACACAUACAAUGGUGGUCUCAUAAGAUUUUCAUAUCAUAUUUUUAUCAUACCCUUUCUGUUAGAUAUGCUUAGAUGCACGAAUACUUACCAUUGUGUUACAAUUGCCUAUAACCUUCAGUAAAGUGAUAUGUUGUACAGGUUUAUAGCCUAGGAACAAUAGGUUAUACCAUAUAGUAUAGGUGUGUAGUAGACUAUACCAUCUGGGUUUGCGAAAGUACACAUGAUGAUGUUCACGCAAAGACAAAAUCAAAGACAUGUUUCAGAAGGCAUGUCUGUAGCUAAGUAAUGCAUGACUGUAUAUUUAAAGUAUACAAAGUGAUGUUUUGAUAUAUGUAUAUACUGUAAAAGGAUUACCACAAUCAAGCUAAUUAACAUACCCAUCACUUCAUAUAGUUACCUUUUAUGUAUGUGUGGUGAGAAUACUUAAGAUCUAUUAUCUUAGCAAAUUUCAAGUAUAUAAUACAUUGUUGUAUAUAUGAUGACUGUAUUCACUAUGCCGCAUAUUAGGUCUCAAAAAUUAUCACAUAUCUAGAAGUUUGUAUCCUUUGACCAACAUUUUUUCAUUUUUCCCACUUCCCCAACUCCUUGUAACCACCCUUCUACCCCAUUUCUAUGAGUUGGACUUUAAUUUCACAUAUAAGUGAGUUCAUACAGUAUUUGUCUUUCUCUGCCUGUUUUAUUUCAUGUAGCAUCACGUCCACCAGGUUCAUCUAUGUUGUUGCAAAGCUGGAAGAAUAGCAGUUUUCAAGAGCCAGAGGGCAGGGACUGCCAACUGACCACAGCUUUAUAGAGUAACAGGAGCGAUUUUUUAAAUGAAAGCCUCCAUCAAUUAAGAUUUCAGUCACCUCCAUAUUUAAAUCCUGGUAAGAAAAUAACCCAAAAUUACUCAAAGUGAAAUUCCUAUAUUUCACUGGUGAGAAUUCUGAGGUAUUAAAUCCGCUUUAAAGAGGGGAAAAAAAAAAAAAAAACUAUGAUGUCUCCUGCUUGUGAUUGUGGACUGAAAUUCAUACCUCCUACAUAUAUUUACAUAUAUAUCUACAUAUGUACUUUUCUGGAAAUAUGGUUAAAAGGUAGAUACAUAGAUAGAGAUCUUUAGCCUUGGGUAACAAAAAUGUAGGUCACUAUUAAUAGUAAAGAUUCUUCAGAAUAUAAAUGUAAAAAAUACUUCUGUUCCCGAAGUAUAUUUUUUGUCCUACUGUGAGUGCUGGUCAUAGCUAUUUCACUUUAGACAGAACAGAACUAUUUAUACUAUUUCUUUAGAAUUUAUUUUCAUACAGUUUAUUAUUUAUCUCCAACUCAACUAUCCCAAGGCAAUUUUAUUGCUCCAAGGGAGCCAUUAGUCUACCAAGGCUAUUAAAAAAUUAGAAUUCAAAUAUCAUACAAAAUCUGUAAAAAUAUGAUAAUUCUGUUAAUUGAUAUAUGCAACAUAUAUCAUAUGUCAAACAUAAUAUAGACAUAUUUUAAAAUUCUAAUUUGGAGAAACACUUAAAGGCAGGAAGCCUGUUUUGUUUAGGAUUACAUGCUCAACAGAGUAUCUUUCAUGAGUGAAUUAAUUCAAAAUUAUUCUAUGUUAAAAAAGAAUAAAUUACUUUCUACAUUUCCAGAAUGUUAAAAAUGCAAGGACUCAUUUUAUAAAAACAUUAGCAUUACUAGAUAUUUGCAACCCUUACUUUUUCACAUGUGCAUUGUUUGACAACCUGAGGCUUCUUUACACACCAAACAUUGGGACUUCCACAGGGCAACUCAGAAAGGAACAUUUAACUGUCCCAUGCAGGUAUUGUUUUUUCUGACCAACAAAACAGUUUGAUCCAUGUCACCAACUAUGGAAAUGGUGUCUUUGUAAUUAUUUAAGUGUUUAUGUUUUACCCUUAAAUUUUUAAAAAAAAAAAAAAAAGGGAAAAGAAAAGGAAAAACAAAGGUAGAGGCUAGAAAUAAAAUAGUGGGUUCCCUUAUCUUAAUACAGUAGAGACUAAGGUGAAAGUCAUUAGGCUUGCUGAAAGAGGCGAUUCUUUAGCCUUGAUUGAAUUCUAAUUGAAGUUAUGCUGGUUGACAGUAUUUGAUUUUGGAAUUAAAAGAACAAAUGAAAGCACAUGUAUUAAAAAUUGUUUCUAAAUUUAAGUAAAAAUUCUAUGUUUUAAUUCUGAGCAUGUAAAAAUUCUCUAAUAAUGUGCACGUCUGUUGCCUACUUGACUUUACUACAUGCUUUUUAGUCAUUGAGAAAGUCGAAGCUGCCAGUUUCUCAAAUUAUCUGCCUUAAUCUAGUACAUGUAGUGUCAACACUGUGGGCUUUGAAGUCAGGAAACACUUGGUUGCAAAUUCUGAUUCUUCUACUAAUGUGUUAUAUGUUGACCAUCCUCAAGAGUGUCUAUGUGUAAAGUUUGCAAGGAGUUGUGGGGAUUCAAGGAACGUUUUUAACUGCCUUGCAUCCUACUUAAAUGUGGGUUAAGACAGGUAUUGUCUUUGCACUGAAGGCUUACCUGUGUUUCAAUGUGAAUAGAAUCUCUUCCUUCUUUCUUUCUACCUAUCUAAAUGCGACCCAUUUUGAAGAUAUUCAGGAUCAUCCAUGUUCCUUUUGAAAUACAUCUCGGACUAAACAUACACAGACACAUAAAUCUUCUGUAUUUGUGUGUGUGUGUGUGUAUGUAUGUGUUUAUAUAUUGUAUCUCUUUUAAAUGUUCUCCUUGCCACUUCUACAACAAUGUCUAUACAUUCAUUCACAGAAUCAAAAUAAAAUCUUUUACUUAACUGUUAUCUUUGAAUAUUAUAUGUUUCUAUAACUUAUCUUACCAAAAAAACUAUUAGUUCUUUGAAGGUCAUGUGUGUGUCUUAGCCAAUGACUUGUCUUAGGCACAUUGGAUGACAAAGCCUAGCAUUAAACUUAGAAGUCAGAGACCAAAGUCAGCUCUUCAAGAUGCAAGGACUUCCUGAGGGAGGCAGAGGAAAGGUGUUCUCUGUAGACAUUUUUAUUCACCUAAUCAUGGUGAUUUGGCCAGACGUGCAUGUGGAUAAUUCCUUGAGUUUAUUAUUGAGGAGUCCUUGGAGUAUGCUUUCAUUUUGAGUACAGUUUCUCCCCAAAUAUAGAUACCAACCUGGAAAGAAGGGUUGACUAAUUCAUUGAGAAAAGUUACAGUUAAAGUAAUUUUCAAAACUCCUGAAUGUUUUGGCUUAUUUAUCCACCAGUCCAUGUUGAGAGGAGGCACAGCUAGGAUUCCAUUCUACCUGCCCAAAGCAGGGGACCUGGACAAGGAGGCAGGGACACGAGUUUAGAUCUGAUUCUGAGAUGACUCAGCCCCAACCUCAGCCUUGGCUUUUGUGGCAGUGCUUGAGUGACUCAUUUUUCUGGCACUGUCUUUGUUAACUCCUGGGAUCAAAAGUGUCCUGUUUACAUAGCCUCACAUAUGGCUACUCACUCUGCUUUGUUUUAAAAACACUGUCGGCUUCCAUCCUGCAACUGUUUGGUGCUGUUCACUGAUGAGGAAAAUGACUUGGUUAUGCUCCCCCUCCCACUCAAUUACUUACUCCUCUUCUUGCCAAACAGCUGACCUUUCUGCUCACCAUUUCCCCUAUUUGGUCAAGGUAAAGGUAUAUGUAUAUUUUCUUUUCAAAGAAUGUGUUAGAGCCUUGAUUGUUUACAUUGGUCCCUGUAGCAUGUUCUUAAUAUGUAUUUAUUUCCUAAGAUAUAGGAGUGGAUAUUAACAGAAUUCCCAAUUCUUGCAGUCUGAAGAGUGUCAUUAUUUUUUAAAGAAAUGUUUCCUAUUUUUCCAUUCAGACGCCAUACAAACUUCAGAACUCUAUCUACUAAAGUAAUAUUCACUCUGGGAAUGAGCUGGCAGCAUGGGGGGUCUCUAAGGACGGCACCAUUAAACCAUCUAGUCAAGGAAAUAAUUAAGAUCCCUCCCCCAGCCCUCUCCUCACACUGCUCUCCCCAAAGCAUUCUGAAUUUGCAGUUCCUUGCCCCCACACACACCCUAACGGAAUAAAAAUGACAAUCAGGAAAGUGCUCCAAGGCCCACCCACCUAGAGCAAACUACCUCUGAUCAUUGUAACUCACUCUCAUCCAACAUUGGUCUUUGGGGACUCUCUCCCUAUUGCAAAGUCAUUAUUCAGGCCCCCUGUUGCAGUGUUUCCAAGGUAAAGAAUAGCUUUCUCCCUGAUGCUUUGGACAAGCUGUCCUGAUUCAGCAGGAGAAAUCUGAAAAUCGUGAUGUUUUUGCACUUCCUAAUCCAUUAUUCAAAUCCAUAGACACUCCUAGCAUUUAGAGAGGAGCCUCCUCCCUGCACCCUCUGGAGAGAAUCACUCAUUCAAGUGACUGAUGUAAAAAAUCAAUCCCUUCACUCUUUUUAAAAGAUGUCAUUUAUUUCCCCUUUCUGGCUUCUUUUGUAUUCUGAUGAUUGCCAACUGCAAUUGGUUAAAGAUACAACUUAAAUAGCACCAUAUGUUUGUGGCUAUUGGAUACCCUGAUGUUCUAGAAUCCACGCCAUCACCUCGCUCACUGUUACCACCCCCAAUAGCCCUUUAAUUAAACUGCAAACUGUUACACUCUCUCAGAAUAAGAGAAUGCAAGUGUUAAUGACAGCCUGGUUUCAGCAUUAAAAUCUGAGGAAUAAAGCUGCAAAUGUGUGAUCACACAGCAACUCUAAACAACCCGUGUUGUAAAAGGAACAUAGAUUAUUUAUAAAAGUUAGGCUUCUGCUUAAUUAAUCUUCCCUAUAAAUAUGGCUCAUGGAGGAUAGUAAUCGUCAAGUACCAUGUCAUUGUAAGAAUAUUUAUACACAGGUAGCAUCACACUCACACAUACAAGCAGGCAGAUGCAUGCACAUGCACACACACACACACACACACACACAAACACAUACAUAUACCACACAUACAGAGCUUUGACAAUUGCUAGGAUGAUGUUUAGCAUACUUUCAAAGAGUUAAAAAAUAAAAAGAAUAGAGUGGAGAAAAUACAGUUACACUCUUAUCUAACCAUGGAAAAUACCACCUGCUAAUUAAUGUGAAACCACGGUGGGUUUCUUCAGUGUAAAUCUAGAGUGAAUCAUUUCUUUCUCUCUCCAGUCCAGUUCCAACAAUGGAGAAAGCUGUGAGAAGUUGCCUUAGAGCACACGUAGAAAAUAUCUCCCUGUUUAAGAACCUCAGGUUUUGUCUUGACCUUGUGUCUCUUCACACCAGCCUCAGUCCCUUUUCCCUGAUCACUCUUUAACUGGAAAAGAUUAUGCAUUUCUAAAGAAAUGAUGGAGGACCACAUGAUACCACCUUUUCAAUUCUCUCAUACUUUUUACCUGAUUAAUAUAUUUAUAUUUUUAUGAGAGUGAUCAGUUCUUGCUGGAGGAAGAGUGCUACCUUCUCAGCUAAUGAUGGUAUUUUCUUCUUAUCCUUUACUGUUACCAUCUUGUGUUAAAAUAAUUAAAUGUCUUGCUUUUGCUUCACUGACAAGCAUUUCUCCUAGCUGACUGGGCAGAGUAGAAGCCCUCCUUAAUUUUGGGAAAUUCCCGAAGGGAAAGAAAAGUUUAUAUGUAAUAUGUGUUUCCUGAGUACAAAGAAUUCAUUGGGUUGUUCUUCAUUUCACACGCAGGCUUUACUGAAAUGAAACAAUUGUAUUUUCUAGAAAGGAAAAUGUAGAUGAUAAGAAUUGAAUGCUAUAAUUACACUCAUUCCAUAAAGUAGUGCCCUUUGUGGUGAUCUAGAAACUCCUGAAAUGUGAAUGUACAGGUUGCCUGGUUAAAUUAAGAUGGAUAUUGUGAGAAUGUGUGAAGUGAGGCUGCAUAGGUGUAAAAACAGACACAAGGACAGUCUUGUGUAUUCUAACCCACUAUGCACCAUAGUCAGGUUUCUGUUGUGUUUGCCAAUAUCAGCUGAAUGUCAAUGUCAGCUUGCCUAAAUAGUUCUUGCUAAUAAGGGUUUGUGAAUGUAUCAUUUUUGUGACCAAUUUUUAAAAAUCAGACACUUGAAUUUAUUAUUUUUCCUUUACUUUUUAAAGUGUUCUAUCCACUUGACUAUCAUAAGGUCCAACCUCAACAUCCUGCAGAAUUUUAUCAUUUUCUAUUUUAAUAUCUUACCACACAAAUUCCUUAUAUGAUUGUAAACCUAAUUCUUCUUUAAUAAAGGCAAUUUAUGUUGACUGACGUAAUGAAAAAACACAAUCACACACUCUUCUCUGAUUUUGUUAUACUACCUUACUGGCUAAGAAAAUAAUAGAUAUGGGCACUCUAAAAUUACAUAGCUAAGUUCUUGUAUCUUUUUGUUAUUUCCUUCCUAGAAAUUUUGCAGAAGCUGACUCCCUUUCAUUGCUCCUGCAUUCUAGGCUUAUUUGGUUGCUUCUGGACUUAUUUCUUACAAGUCAUAUUUUCCAUGUGGAAGUUUCUUUUAUUUAAAUAAAAGAACACCAGAAUAGAAAAGACAAGGGCUUAGGGAAUUUGGUUGCAAAUAGAAGUUGAAAAAAUCUAAAGAAUCAUUUUAGAAAUGGUUAGGUAGCUAAGUUUGGCAAUAGUGCAGAAACAGGGAUUCUCAUUUCUUGUUAAUGAAAAUAAAUCUGUUAUAGUGUUUCUGAAGACAAAUGUGACAACCCACUAUUAGUAUACUGAACGUGCAUACCUCUUAUUUAGCAAUUUAUCCUGUACAAAUCAAUCCCAAAGGGAGAAGGAAGGUUUUUUACAAUUAUGUGGCUAUAAGGAUCUUACUGUAGUUUACUUCUUAUAAUAAUACAACAAUGAAAGUAAAUUUAAUGCCCAGUCAUAUAAAAUUUAUUAUUUAAAUUACAGCAGUCUCAUAUUAUGCAAUAUUAUGCAGCCUUGAAUAAUUAUUCCAUGAAAAAUAUGUGAUGUCAUGGAAAGAUAAACAUAGCAUAUCUUAUUAGAGAAUAACAGUUUACAAUGUAAUAUUAUUGUUCAAUCCAGUUUUGUAAAUAAAAAAGAUUACAUUUGCAUAAGUGAAAGCAU
Molecule: long non-coding RNA, 9931 nt
Organism: Cercocebus atys (sooty mangabey)
Lineage: Eukaryota; Metazoa; Chordata; Mammalia; Primates; Cercopithecidae
Exons: 5
Source: RefSeq, a predicted model, not a curated record